UGGGGAAUAUUGGACAAUGGGCGCAAGCCUGAUCCAGCCAUGCCGCGUGUGUGAAGAAGGCCUUUUGGUUGUAAAGCACUUUAAGCGAGGAGGAGGCUACUUGGAUUAAUACUCUAGGAUAGUGGACGUUACUCGCAGAAUAAGCACCGGCUAACUCUGUGCCAGCAGCCGCGGUAAUACAGAGGGUGCGAGCGUUAAUCGGAUUUACUGGGCGUAAAGCGUGCGUAGGCGGCUUUUUAAGUCGGAUGUGAAAUCCCUGAGCUUAACUUAGGAAUUGCAUUCGAUACUGGGAAGCUAGAGUAUGGGAGAGGAUGGUAGAAUUCCAGGUGUAGCGGUGAAAUGCGUAGAGAUCUGGAGGAAUACCGAUGGCGAAGGAAGCCAUCUGGCCUAAUACUGACGCUGGGGUACGAAAGCAUGGGGAGCAAACAGG
This 430-nucleotide ribosomal RNA is filed under the name bacterium. RNAcentral's name for it is "partial 16S ribosomal RNA". It matches the Rfam family "Bacterial small subunit ribosomal RNA", at positions 355 to 776 of the family's 1533-position model. The record is from RNAcentral.